GGUGCAAGGAUUUCACUCGACUGCUCCGAGUACGACAAUGACUACUACCACUACAACAGAAUCUCCCAGUACAACUGCCUCUUAUACAAGAAUCUGAUACAGGUCUCAGGAGUCCUGUCCAUCUUAAGCCUGUUGCAGUUGAUCAUCUCAGCGGUCAUCAUUGGUUACACCUGCUAUGCCGCGUGUAACUGCAGGGAAUAGAUGCAGAACAUCAAAGGAGAAGCGAGCACCAUGAUUCCUCCUCAUCCUCCAGCGUACAGCACUGUGGGUUCCAGUGUUUAAGGACUCAAGGAAUCUCAAGGAUAAGAUAGGAUAAAGAAAGUGUUACAGUAGACUCAGAAAACUGCUUAAAUCAUGAUUCAGUUU
Molecule: long non-coding RNA, 366 nt
Organism: Solea senegalensis (Senegalese sole)
Lineage: Eukaryota; Metazoa; Chordata; Actinopteri; Pleuronectiformes; Soleidae
Exons: 3
Source: RefSeq, a predicted model, not a curated record